AGCAGCCGCGGUAAUUCCAGCUCCAAUAGCGUAUAUUAAAGUUGUUGCAGUUAAAAAGCUCGUAGUUGAAUUUCGGGGUUAGUAGGCUGGUCGUGCCACUGGUACGUACUGGUCUCACUGACUCCUCCUUCCUGAUGAACUGUAAUGCCAUUAAUUUGGCGUUGCGGGGAAACUGGACUGUUACUUUAGAAAAAUUAGAGUGUUUAAAGCAAGCUAACGCUUGAAUACAUUAGCAUGGAAUAAUAGAAAUAGGACGUUCGAUCCUUAUUUUGUUGGUUUCUAGGAUUGACGUAAUGAUUAAUAGGGAUA
This 309-nucleotide ribosomal RNA is filed under the name uncultured Glomus. RNAcentral's name for it is "SSU rRNA". It matches the Rfam family "Eukaryotic small subunit ribosomal RNA", at positions 569 to 880 of the family's 1831-position model. The record is from RNAcentral. Lineage: Eukaryota; Fungi; Glomeromycota; Glomeromycetes; Glomerales; Glomeraceae.